RNAcentral lists this non-coding RNA (46 nucleotides) under Schistosoma curassoni. Lineage: Eukaryota; Metazoa; Platyhelminthes; Trematoda; Strigeidida; Schistosomatidae. The record is from RNAcentral.
GCACUGCCGAGGAGUCCAACAAUAGGACGAAACGAUCGUCCAUUGC